UACAGAGGUCCCAAGCGUUGUUCGGAUUCACUGGGCGUAAAGGGUGCGUAGGUGGUCGGGUAAGUCUGAUGUGAAAUCUCCGGGCCUAACCCGGAAACUGCAUCGGAUACUAUCCGACUGGAGGGUUGGAGGGGGGACUGGAAUACUUGGUGUAGCAGUGAAAUGCGUAGAUAUCAAGUGGAACACCAGUGGCGAAGGCGAGUCCCUGGACAACUCCUGACACUGAGGCACGAAAGCUAGGGGAGCAAACAGG
This 253-nucleotide ribosomal RNA is filed under the name uncultured bacterium. Its description in RNAcentral is "partial 16S ribosomal RNA". It matches the Rfam family "Bacterial small subunit ribosomal RNA", at positions 524 to 776 of the family's 1533-position model. The record is from RNAcentral.